RNAcentral lists this ribosomal RNA (1391 nucleotides) under human gut metagenome. RNAcentral's name for it is "bacterial LSU rRNA". It matches the Rfam family "Bacterial large subunit ribosomal RNA", at positions 980 to 2395 of the family's 2925-position model. The record is from RNAcentral.
GGAGUCAGACUGCACGAGAUAAGUUGGGUAGUCAAAAGGGAAAGAGCCCAGACCUACAGCUAAGGUCCCAAAGUGCGUGUUAAGUGGAAAAGGAUGUGGGAUUUCGAAGACAACUAGGAUGUUGGCUCAGAAGCAGCCAUACAUUCAAAGAGUGCGUAAUAGCUCACUAGUCGAGAGGUCCUGCGCCGAAAAUGUCCGGGGCUAAAACACGACACCGAAGCUUAGGAAUACAUGCAAAUGUAUUGGUAGAGGAGCAAUCUUAACGGGAAGAAGCAGUACUGUAAGGUGCUGUGGACUGUUAAGAAGAGAGAAUGCCGGAAUGAGUAGCGAGAUGGAGGUGGGAAUCCUCCAGGCCGAAUAUCCAAGGUUUCCAGGGUAAAGCUGAUCUGCCCUGGGGAAGUCGGGGCCUAAGGCGAGGUCGAAAGACGUAGCUGAUGGACAACAGGUUGAUAUUCCUGUACUAUCAUAUGACAGAACUGUGGGGACGCAGAAAGAGAGCCUGAGCCGGGAAAGGGAAAACCGGUGCAAGCGGGGUAGGAGUCGUGCAGGCAAAUCCGCACGGCAAUCCGAAGACGUGAAGCGGAGCGAACUAAAGUAGCGAAGCAGGUGAGCUGGCUGCCAAGAAAAGCCGCUAUUGUUCAUAUGAUACCCGUACCGUAAACCGACACAGGUGGAUGAGGAGAGAAUCCUAAGGCCGGCGGGAGAAGCAUUGUUAAGGAACUCGGCAAAAUGACCCCGUAACUUCGGGAGAAGGGGUGCCUGCGAGAGCAGGCCGCAGAGAAUAGGCUCAAGCAACUGUUUAGCAAAAACACAGGUCUAUGCGAAACCGAAAGGUGAGGUAUAUGGGCUGACGCCUGCCCGGUGCUGGAAGGUUAAGAGGAGAGGUUAGCGCAAGCGAAGCUUUGAAUUUAAGCCCCAGUAAACGGCGGCCGUAACUAUAACGGUCCUAAGGUAGCGAAAUUCCUUGUCGGGUAAGUUCCGACCCGCACGAAAGGCGUAAUGAUUUGAGCACUGUCUCGACAAUGCAUCCGGUGAAAUUGAAGUACCAGUGAAGAUGCUGGUUACCUGCGCCAGGACGGAAAGACCCCAUGGAGCUUUACUCCAGUUUGGUACUGGGGUCCGGUAUUGCAUGUACAGGAUAGGUGGGAGGCUAUGAAAUGGUAACGCCAGUUGCCAUGGAGCCGCUGUUGGGAUACCACCCUUGCAGUAUUGGGUUUCUAACCAGCCGCCGUGACCCGGCGGUGGGACAAUGCCAGACGGGGAGUUUGACUGGGGCGGUCGCCUCCGAAAGGGUAUCGGAGGCGCCCAAAGGUUCCCUCAGAAUGGACGGAAACCAUUCGAAGAGUGCAAAGGCAGAAGGGAGCUUGACUGCGACACCGACGGGUGGAGCA